Myotis davidii is the source of this 174-nucleotide long non-coding RNA. RefSeq lists it as uncharacterized. The transcript is spliced from 2 exons. NCBI's taxonomy places the organism in Eukaryota, Metazoa, Chordata, Mammalia, Chiroptera, Vespertilionidae. The record is from RefSeq and is a predicted model, not a curated record.
GUUGACCCUGCGCCUGGGCGGGAGCUGCUGGGAGCGGAGGCUGCGAGUGGGGGCCUAGUGGAGUGGAGGGGUAACAAGAUGGCGGCAGAGACGGUGGAGCUGCAUAAACUGAAGAGCACUUCUUAACCUUUUGGAGGUCACAGAUAUCUUUGAAACUCUGAUGAAAGGUAUGGA